RNAcentral lists this long non-coding RNA (745 nucleotides) under Homo sapiens (human). RNAcentral describes it as "HSALNT0030327". The record is from RNAcentral. Lineage: Eukaryota; Metazoa; Chordata; Mammalia; Primates; Hominidae.
GUCAAAGCAAUCUUGUGGUGAAGCCUGAUUUCAUGAGGUGGGAUAUAUCACCUUCCUAAGGGACCCAUAGAGAAGGGGAGAAGAUUUUUGAAACAAACUGUUUAAGCAUGUGUUGUUGUUGCUGCGGUUCGACGGAGUCUCUCUCUGUCAUAUUAGUUAGUGCUCAAUAUACUUGUGAUUAUGUUAUUUUGCUACUCAGAAACUUUCAAUAGUUCUUCAUUGCCUUCGGAGCAAAACACAAAUUCAUGAGCCUGGUGUUCAAAGUAUCUUCACGGUAGAGGUCCUAUAUAUCUAGAAUUAUCUGUAUGAACUCUCCACUGUGGUCAACUUAAUCUACUUGCCACUCCCCAAACACACCUCUGCCACUCUCUCUCUCUGGAAUUCUUCCCACCUUGUCAAAAUGCUACCCAUCUUAUAAAGCCUAUGUCAAAUAUUUGUGUAUAUUUUAUGGUCUCUAUUGGAUUGUGUGUUCCCUGAAGACAAACAGAGUAUCUUUCACAUUUGUGUGUUCCAUGGGCACCUUGCCCAUGGUAGGGGAAGGGGAAAAAUUAGCAUUUACUGAACACCUCCCGUGUGCCAGAGAUAGUGGAAAUUGCUUUACAUAUGCUAUCUCAUUAAACCCUGAGAGCAACUCUAUUCAAUAGGGAUUAUUAUUCUAAUUCAUUGAUCAUAAAACUGAGGUUCAAUGGCGUGAUUUUUCCAAGGUCACAAAGCUAGUUAUUGCUAGAGUCAAAAUUUGAAACUG